GCGAACGCUGGCGGCAGGCUUAACACAUGCAAGUCGAGCGGGCGUAGCAAUACGUCAGCGGCAGACGGGUGAGUAACGCGUGGGAACGUACCUUUUGGUUCGGAACAACACAGGGAAGCUUGUGCUAAUACCGGAUAAGCCCUUACGGGGAAAGAUUUAUCGCCGAAAGAUCGGCCCGCGUCUGAUUAGCUAGUUGGUGAGGUAACGGCUCACCAAGGCGACGAUCAGUAGCUGGUCUGAGAGGAUGAUCAGCCACAUUGGGACUGAGACACGGUCCAAACUCCUACGGGAGGCAGCAGUGGGUAAUAUUGGACAAUGGGCGCAAGCCUGAUCCAGCCACGCCGCGUGAGUGAUGAAGGCCCUAGGGUUGUAAAGCGCUUUUGUGCGGGAAGAUAAUGACGGUACCGCAAGAAUAAGCCCCGGCUAACUUCGU
This 433-nucleotide ribosomal RNA is filed under the name uncultured bacterium. Its description in RNAcentral is "bacterial SSU rRNA". It matches the Rfam family "Bacterial small subunit ribosomal RNA", at positions 29 to 506 of the family's 1533-position model. The record is from RNAcentral.